Triticum urartu is the source of this 2451-nucleotide non-coding RNA. Lineage: Eukaryota; Viridiplantae; Streptophyta; Magnoliopsida; Poales; Poaceae. The record is from RefSeq and is a predicted model, not a curated record.
UAUGAGGUUGCCGCUGCUCCAUGUUAAGUACCAGCCAGAACUGCCAUUAUAUAUUUAUUAAGCUAGGAGGCUGCACCGGUCAUGAAUUUAAAUAGGCUUGCUACCACUUUAUUUUGGUCAACAUUUUUGGCCCUGAACAUGUUAUGUUUUGAUUUAUGAGGUAAAAGCAUACUACUGCUUGCAUAAACAGCAACCUGUUGAAAGUAUUGUUGGGUCACUUUUAGGCUUCUAGCUAUUUUGAUUUUAUCAUAUACAACACUUUCAGAUCAGUAAAUACAAUGACCUCCCUUUUACAUUAAAUAAUCAUUAUUGUUCUCAUACCAUUUGAUAUUUGCAGAGUAUCUCAGGCACACAAGCUAAAGGUUCACCAAGUUCAGGGAAAGAAAAGUUUCCCUAGACACGUGGCGGCGGCGGUCAAGACAAGAGCGGCGCUGUGAGCGACGGCCCUCGAUCGUCUUCCUUGUGGAAUCAGGUACGCGUCGUCCAUCGUGGCCCAUCGUGGGUGUUGCCGGGCGACCGGAGGCGGCUACAGCAGGCCAGUGCCCGUGAUCAAGACUGACACCGGGAAGGCUGCCGGUCUACAGUUGUGCACUCAAUUCAAAUGAUUAUUCUCCGUUCUUUGCCUCAGAACUACAUAUGAGAGGUACAAAGGGUUGGCCAAGAUACUCAAUUAAGUUAUCCGAUUUAAGUAGUAAGGGUACCGGCGCCCAAAUAAAUUCAGGAGCACUGCAAAAUUCAAGUUGAUGGCUGAUGUGCCUUGUAGUUUUACAGUAUGAUAGUUGUUGAAAGUAUGUUCUAGAAUGCAGGUGAUGGGCUGCUGAUUUAUGUUGUCCACUUCUCUUGAUUUUUACUGACUUGUGUUGAUUUCUAUUGUAUGCAAUAGCAGCCUUCGUGCCAUUGAUAGAUUCUGCUGGUUUCUACCUCCAUGCUGCUUAAACCAAUUACCUCCUCAAUUAUACGCCAUGGCAGGGCAGAUGAUUGUGUGCAAGGAAGGAAAGAUGCAAACGAUUUGAGUUCCCAGUUUGUACAGCCCCUGAGGAUUGGAAGGUCGUGCUGUUGUCUACUUGUCUCUUUCAUUCCGUUACAACCUGCUGUUCUUGCUCAGUUGUGUCCAUCAAGGAUAUGUUCUUUGAAUUUAGAUGAUGCACGGAUAAAUAACUCUUAUGUGACAAUGCAAAUGAAGGGUGCAGUGGCUCAGCCCUUUAGAUUGUUGGCGAUAAUAUUGGAGUAUAAAUAAAUACAAGUUGUUAACAACAACAGAAAUUUUUGGCUCAAUAUAUCCUUAUGAACGAGGGUUUGUAUAAUUUUCGGCAUUCCUUUGCCUGUAGCAAUAGCUAUUGUAUUUAGUGGCAAUCGUUAUAAAAUGGGAGCAUAAAUAAAUAGCAAUGGAAUUUUAUUAGCUCUCUAUGUCCUUACAAACGAGGGAUUGCAUGAAUUUGUGAUUUCUUUUUCCUGUAGCGAAUAGCUGUUGUAUUUAGACACAAUCGAUAUAAAAAGAACAUUCAAUUUUAUUCAAUUGCACUCAACCCCUUCUGCAAUCUUUAGAAGCAAAAAUGCAGCCUGUAGCAAAACGGGGGAAAUUGGAUAAAGAGGCAGGGCCGCAGGAGCAGAACGGUCCAGCCGAUGAAGCCAAUGUGGACGAAGAUUAACUUCUCUGAUCUUGUGGUAGGCUGAACCUGAAUCAAAUUAAUGGGUGGACUUUCUUGUUAUCCUUUGUCCUGAAACUAUAACAUAAUCACUUAAGCUGACAUUUUGGUAGUUGUCUGAACCAUGAAUCCAUGAUGCUAAGCUGAAUAAUUCCUGGAGCAUCUACCGCGCGUGGUGCUUCUACGUUGCACCAUUGUCUGGUGUUUGCGCUUCUACAAUUUUUUUUACCAUACACAUCUGCUCCAGUAAUGAAUAUGAGCCUCUUGUACUAAGAUUUUUUUCCACCAUACUCAUAUAUUUCUACCUGGAUUGUGUGCAAAAAAUCGAUUUCUAUCAAGAAAAUCAUUGACGUUUGGAGAGCUAAAAAUAGUUCAGGCCCUCGAGGUGCAUUCCCUGGGAUUGUUGUUGUGCAGGUGUAGCAGCCAGUGGUUCUUUGCAUCAUUCUUCAAAAAGAAUGUGUGUGGCACGAACCGUGAAAAUAAUAAUUGUAGAAUGAAGACACCACUACUUAAACGAUGAAACCAUGUUUAAUACUGAUGUGACAUGAACCUAAUACCACUGCCUUCAUGUCUUGAUAUUUCUUGCUGGUAGAAGAUACAAGACUCAGCCAAAGGUUAAUAGACAAGAGCUGUAUCAAUGAUGCAUAUCUGCUAAUAUAACAUGCUUUAUAAAGCCAAUGUAAGCUAUCAUCAAGUGAUCUUAUAACUUUCUUUCCUUUGAGCUAUAAUGCUACCAUAUAAAAAAAAUAUGUAACGCUAUGUGUACCUAAGUAUCUAUUAAAUUGGUUCCAAAUUACUCUCACUU